AUUGAACGCUGGCGGCAGGCCUAACACAUGCAAGUCGAACGAGUGGCGGACGGGUGAGUAAUGUCUGGGAAACUGCCUGAUGGAGGGGGAUAACUACUGGAAACGGUAGCUAAUACCGCAUACCAUCAGAUGUGCCCAGAUGGGAUUAGCUUGUUGGUGGGGUAACGGCUCACCCAGGCGACGAUCCCUAGCUGGUCUGAGAGGAUGACAAGCUACACUGGAACUGAGACACGGGCCAGACGUCUCCGGGAGGCAGCAGUGGGGAAUAUUGCACAAUGGGCGUAAGCCGGAGGCAGCCAUGCCGAGUGUAUGAAGAAGGCCUUGGGGUUGUAAAGCACUUUCAGCGGGGAGGCGUUAACCGCAGAAGAAGCACCGGCUAACUCCGUGCCAGCAGCCGCGGUAAUAC
Molecule: ribosomal RNA, 406 nt
Filed under: uncultured bacterium
Lineage: Bacteria
Description: partial 16S ribosomal RNA
Rfam family: Bacterial small subunit ribosomal RNA
Source: RNAcentral